Molecule: long non-coding RNA, 600 nt
Filed under: Homo sapiens (human)
Lineage: Eukaryota; Metazoa; Chordata; Mammalia; Primates; Hominidae
Description: non-protein coding lnc-BOD1L2-1:1
Source: RNAcentral
GACUAUAAAGUGGGUCAAGGGAGAGUUUAUCGAUAGGAGAUUGAACAACCCGCAAGGACCCAGGGAAAAAGUGCUGCCCUGAUGUUAUAAGCUGCUUGGCUUGGAGAAAAUGGUGGCUGACACUAAGAAGAAAUGUCAGAACUGAUGUGACAGAGGGUGGAGGCAAGAACAGGAAAGCUCAGAGUGAGGAGACUGCUGGAGCAGAAUCCUGGAAUGGCUGUUCCCAGGCUUUUUUCAAAGCAAGUGGAUCUGAGCGGGGCAAAGGGUGAAGGCAGGGGACACUGUGGUAUGCAUUCACUCCCCCAGGUACUGGGUUGUCGGCAGCUGAUAUUUCCCAACUGAGACCUGCUACAGGAAUUGCUUGAGGCUAAAGAGAGCCACUCUCCUCAAGGCCACAUCCUCCUCCCUAAUGAGAGCUACACCCAAUAACCCAUCAUGGGGAUAAAAGGACUCAACCCUCUUUGCUUCAGUUUGGAACAUCUCUGAAGGGCCAUUCCAGCUUCAUAGCUCCCAGCGCAUUUGUCAGAGAACUCUGUUGCAACCACAUCACAGUCCAGCUCCCCCCUGCCUAUGUAUUGCUUCCUUCACACAGAUGUUGAU